GGGCGCACGGUGGAUGCCUUGGCACUAGAAGCCGAUGAAGGACGUUACUAACGACGAUAUGCUUUGGGUAGCUGUAAGUAAGCGUUGAUCCAGAGAUUUCCGAAUGGGGGAACCCAGCACAAGUUAUGUUGUGUUAUCGACAUGUGAAUACAUAGCAUGUCCGAAGGCAGACGCGGAGAACUGAAACAUCUUAGUACCCGCAGGAAGAGAAAGAAAAAUCGAUUCCCUGAGUAGCGGCGAGCGAAACGGGAAGAGCCCAAACCAAUGAGCUUGCUCAUUGGGGUUGUAGGACACUCUAUACGGAGUUACAAAGGAAUAAAUUAGACGAAUCACCUGGAAAGUUGAACCAGAGAAGGUAAAAGUCCUGUAGUCGAAAGUUUAUUCUCUCUUGAGUGGAUCCUGAGUACGACGGAGCACGUGGAAUUCCGUCGGAAUCCGGGAGGACCAUCUCCCAAGGCUAAAUACUCUCUAGUGACCGAUAGUGAACCAGUACCGUGAGGGAAAGGUGAAAAGUACCCCGGAAGGGGAGUGAAAGAGAACUUGAAACCGUGUGCUUACAAGUAGUCAGAGCCCGUUAAUGGGUGAUGGCGUGCCUUUUGUAGAAUGAACCGGCGAGUUACGAUCUGAUGCAAGGUUAAGCAGCAAAUGCGGAGCCGCAGCGAAAGCGAGUCUGAACAGGGCGUUGAGUAUUUGGUCGUAGACCCGAAACCAGGUGAUCUACCCUUGGUCAGGUUGAAGUUCAGGUAACACUGAAUGGAGGACCGAACCGACUUACGUUGAAAAGUGAGCGGAUGAACUGAGGGUAGCGGAGAAAUUCCAAUCGAACCUGGAGAUAGCUGGUUCUCUCCGAAAUAGCUUUAGGGCUAGCCUCAAGUGAUGAUUGUUGGAGGUAGAGCACUGUUUGGACGAGGGGCCCCUCUCGGGUUACCGAAUUCAGACAAACUCCGAAUGCCAAUCAAUUUAACUUGGGAGUCAGAACGUGGGUGAUAAGGUCCAUGUUCGAAAGGGAAACAGCCCAGACCACCAGCUAAGGUCCCAAAAUAUAUGUUAAGUGGCAAAGGAUGUGGUAUUGCCCAGACAACUAGGAUGUUGGCUUAGAAGCAGCCAUCAUUUAAAGAGUGCGUAAUAGCUCACUAGUCGAGUGACACUGCGCCGAAAAUGUACCGGGGCUAAACAUAUUACCGAAGCUGUGGAUUGUCCGUAGGACAAUGGUAGGAGAGCGUUCUAAGUGCGUCGAAGCAUGAUCGCAAGGACAUGUGGAGCGCUUAGAAGUGAGAAUGCCGGUGUGAGUAGCGAAAGAUGGGUGAGAAUCCCAUCCACCGAUUGACUAAGGUUUCCAGAGGAAGGCUCGUCCGCUCUGGGUUAGUCGGGUCCUAAGUCGAGGCCGACAGGCGUAGACGAUGGAUAACAGGUUGAUAUUCCUGUACCACCAUUUAUCGUUUUAAGCGAUGGGGGGACACAGUAGGAUAGGCGAAGCGUGCUGUUGGAGUGCACGUCUAAGCAGUGAGACUGAAUGGUAGGCAAAUCCGCCAUUCUCAAGGUUGAGCUGUGAUGGGGAGAGGAAACAUGUUUUCCUCGAGUCGUUGAUUUCACACUGUCGAGAAAAGCCUCUAGCUAGAUAACUGGUGCCCGUACCGCAAACCGACACAGGUAGUCAAGAUGAGAAUUCUAAGGUGAGCGAGAGAACUCUCGUUAAGGAACUCGGCAAAAUGACCCCGUAACUUCGGGAGAAGGGGUGCUCUUUAGGGUUCACGCUCUGAAGAGCCGCAGUGAAUAGGCCCAAGCGACUGUUUAUCAAAAACACAGGUCUCUGCUAAACCGUAAGGUGAUGUAUAGGGGCUGACGCCUGCCCGGUGCUGGAAGGUUAAGAGGAGUGGUUAGCUUCUGCGAAGCUACGAAUCGAAGCCCCAGUAAACGGCGGCCGUAACUAUAACGGUCCUAAGGUAGCGAAAUUCCUUGUCGGGUAAGUUCCGACCCGCACGAAAGGCGUAACGAUUUGGGCACUGUCUCAACGAGAGACUCGGUGAAAUCA
This 2032-nucleotide ribosomal RNA is filed under the name Staphylococcus simulans. RNAcentral describes it as "23S ribosomal RNA". It matches the Rfam family "Bacterial large subunit ribosomal RNA", at positions 15 to 2044 of the family's 2925-position model. Lineage: Bacteria; Bacillati; Bacillota; Bacilli; Caryophanales; Staphylococcaceae. The record is from RNAcentral.